GUGCUUGCUUCGGCAGCACAUAUACUAAAAUCGGAACGAUACAGAGAAGAUUAGCAUGGCCCCUGCACAAGAAAAAGUUCAUUCCUAGCUUUAUUUAUUUAUUUU
Zalophus californianus (California sea lion) is the source of this 105-nucleotide small nuclear RNA. The record is from Ensembl. Lineage: Eukaryota; Metazoa; Chordata; Mammalia; Carnivora; Otariidae.